CAGCGCUGCAUCUCUACUCGCAGCAGCCGUAAAGCCUCGUCCUUGGGCAGCUUGGAGUCUGACAGAAGACAGAAGAGCUGCUCACCUGUUCGCUCAGGGCCUGACAGGCAGAGUCCAGCUUCUGCUGCAGAGCCAACAGUACAACCUCGUGCUGUUCUCUGAUGACAAUGAGGUCCCUGUCGUGCUGCUCUCUCGUUUUGGACAGGGUGUCAGAACGACAAAGUUCCAACAUCUGCUGCUUCAUACUGUCCACUGCCGCCUCAGCCACCCUCUGCUUUUUCAUGUUCUGCAAGCAAAGGGAAAACUAUGCUAUUAAACUGUCAGUUAAGAUAUUAAUGCUGCCUAUUCCAGUGAGCCCUUGACACCUGAUAUAGAAUACAAAGUUCAACAUUUUAGUGAGAUAUUUACUAAGUUUCAUCAGAUGUUUGGGCCUGCGCAGCUACCACUACAUUUAUUUUAAAAGCAUUAGGGAAAUCAAGUAUUGCUAAUUAUUGCUUUCUCAAAAUGUAUAUGUUGCAGCUUGAUUUGCAUUGCAUUUAUCUCCUGUACUGUACCUAUAGAGACCAUAGAUCCACUUCAUUAAUGAUGUACUGAACACUGUCUUUUUCUUUGCUCUAAUCAAUUAAAAGGGAAACAGGAAAAGUUAGGGUAGUGUGUGUCAUCACAGAACUUACCUCAUGGUCUCUCUCAGUCAGAAUCUGUAUUUGCUGCUCCAUUGCCUUCACUUUGUUUUGCAUAUGAACCUCGUUCUCCUUGGCCUCCUCAACCAAUUUGCUUGAUUCCUUUAGACUUACUGCAAGGCCAUCCUUUUCAUCUAUUGAUGACAAAAUAUGAUGAUGAAAACGGUCUCAUGGGAAGCACAUCCAUCAAAGAACAAGGGCACAACGGGCCAGUGCAGGACUCAAUGUUUCUAAAGACAGAGCAAGGCCUCUUCUCAGCCACAGGGGGGCAGAUAUGUCACAGAGUGAAAACAUAAACUAAACCAUUUUCAUUACCAAACUUAAUAAAUUACUAUAAUACAAAGACACACAGACUGUAACCCAUUUGUAAGGAGUCAAACAGACUUCCACAAUAAGUCAUAACAUGCAACAUAAAAAGUCAAACCUCCAAAUAUCAAAAAAUAAGACCAGUGUAUUUUACAAGCUUGAUUAUGUUCCGCAAUAAAGUGAAGUGCAACUCA
This is a long non-coding RNA of Solea senegalensis (Senegalese sole), 1180 nucleotides long. RefSeq lists it as uncharacterized. The record is from RefSeq and is a predicted model, not a curated record. The transcript is spliced from 2 exons. NCBI's taxonomy places the organism in Eukaryota, Metazoa, Chordata, Actinopteri, Pleuronectiformes, Soleidae.